This 773-nucleotide ribosomal RNA is filed under the name uncultured bacterium. Its description in RNAcentral is "bacterial SSU rRNA". It matches the Rfam family "Bacterial small subunit ribosomal RNA", at positions 13 to 795 of the family's 1533-position model. The record is from RNAcentral.
UUGAUCCUGGCUCAGAACGAACGCUGGCGGCGUGCCUAACACAUGCAAGUUGAACGGAGUAUAUUGUUGUAGCAAUACAGUGGUGUACUUAGUGGCGGACGGGUGAGUAACACGUAGGUAACCUACCCUCAGACGGGGGACAACCCGGGGAAACCCGGGCUAAUACCGCAUAAGACCACAGACUGGGAUGUCAGUGGUAAAAGUAGCGAUACAUCUGGGGAUGGGCCUGCGGCCUAUCAGGUAGUUGGUGGGGUAACGGCCCACCAAGCCUAAGACGGGUAGCCGGGCUGAGAGGUUGGACGGCCACACUGGAACUGAGACACGGUCCAGACUCCUACGGGAGGCAGCAGUGGGGAAUUUUGCACAAUGGGCGAAAGCCUGAUGCAGCGACGCCGCGUGGAGGAUGAAGGCCUUCGGGUUGUAAACUCCUUUUGUAGGGGACAAUGAUGAUGGUACCCUGCGAAUAAGCCACGGCUAACUCUGUGCCAGCAGCCGCGGUAAGACAGAGGUGGCGAGCGUUGUUCGGAAUCACUGGGCUUAAAGGGCGCGUAGGUGGUAGUGCAAGUCUGGGGUGGAAUCUUGGGGCUUAACCCUAAAAUUGCCUUGGAAACUGUAUUACUUGAGUCAGUGAGGGGAGGGUAGAAUUCCCGGUGUAGCGGUGAAAUGCGUAGAUAUCGGGAGGAAGGCCUGUGGCGAAGGCGGCCCUCUGGCGCUGAACUGACACUGAGGCGCGAAAGCGUGGGUAGCAAACAGGAUUAGAUACCCUGGUAGUC